CAACUUUCAGCAACGGAUCUCUUGGCUCUCGCAUCGAUGAAGAACGCAGCGAAAUGCGAUAAGUAGUGUGAAUUGCAGAAUUCAGUGAAUCAUCGAAUUUUUGAACGCAUCUUGCGCUCCUUGGUAUUCUGAGGAGCAUGCCUGUUUGAGUGUCAUUU
Molecule: ribosomal RNA, 158 nt
Filed under: Auritella serpentinocystis
Lineage: Eukaryota; Fungi; Basidiomycota; Agaricomycetes; Agaricales; Inocybaceae
Also listed under: 3 other names
Description: 5.8S ribosomal RNA
Rfam family: 5.8S ribosomal RNA
About the family: 5.8S ribosomal RNA (5.8S rRNA) is a component of the large subunit of the eukaryotic ribosome.
Source: RNAcentral